GCGAUAGCGAGUGAUUUCAGGCAUUUCAGGAAGAUCAGAAAAAAACAUUUUUCGGCAGGGUAGCAGAUUUGAUCAUUCUGCAGAGAAAUAAUGUUUGGGAGGUGGAACUUUCGCUGUUGCACGUGUAAAAGUUAACUGCGCUGGCUUCUCACGAGGUUCAUCACGAGAAGAGACGAUGCUGCUUCUCAGAUUUCGGAUUUUAUUCCCGAUGUUACACGUAAGAUGCGUAAGCGAGUACACGAGCACACAUGCACUGAGCGGAACGACAUGUGGAUUUAUCGUCGUCGAUUUAAAGGCCACCGUUGUCACGACGAUCCCGCGAUCUGGCUCGUUUAAGGGCACGCGGACGAACAAUGCGAUCUCUGAACCUUUAAUAGGAUGCGUUCGCUCCUAAUAGGAUGCCGCAUCUCGGCUGACAUUUUAUUUCUGUCGCGACGCCGCCGCGAUGCACAGCCAAACCUACCCAUCGCAUGCUGUGAUUCAGCAACGGUAGCCUUGAUCGAUAUCGAUUCUCUUUAGAUCUCCGACUGGAUCGAAUCGAAAAGGAAAGGGACCAACUUGAGGUGAUGGGUCACGCGAACAUAAAAAUGCAUAAAAACAUAAAAAAGCAAUGGAUGCUUUCUCAGCAAAUGUUAUCAUUGUUUUGCAAAAUUCUUGGAUUCAUUAAUCAUAUUCUUCUUCAAACAUCUUUCUCUGAUAAAGAAGCGAAUGCUCGGACGAAGAAAUUUUUAAUUUUAAUUAAUGAAUUACUGGUAGCAGAGAGUAAUCCAUUAAUUAAUAUACCGUGAAUUAGAUUUUUUCUCAACAAACUGGUUGGGAUUCCAAUAACCAAUAACCAAUACAUAUAUAAAAAGAUUGUAAGUUUAGAUUAUUCAAACGCGAGGAAGAGUGAAGCGAUGCCAUCACUCUCGAAGUUGCAUAACUUUGGCAAAAGGUUCGAUACACCUCCUCCUCUCUCCUUGUGAGAGAAGACUCUCGAGAAGAUGUACAAAAAUAUUGUUGCGCAACCCGAGCACACAUACACACAUACACGAUGUAUGCGCAAAAUUAUAAUCCGAUACACGCAACCGCGAAGUUGAAGCAAUAAAUAAAGGAUCAUUUAUUGCGAAUUUGCUACGCGAAGCGACCGACUAAUACCAACUGAUUCGCGAACGGUGAGAUAUUCUGAUUUAUCCCUCAAUAUUUUUACCAAAUUUCAUGGAUAAAGUUUCUCAGGAAAUCCAUUAUGAAACUAUUAAUGACCACGGUUGGAAACGCGACUUUCUGACUAGAGAGUUUAUGUUAAAAUGCAUAUGUAUACAAAAGUGACAUGUAAAGACUGAAAUUGAUGUUAAUUAAUAUAAUUUAUCUUCCAGAAUUAGGAUUGGCUAAAUGCUUUUUGCAGAUCUCAUGAAGUAUACCAUCAUAUUUCUACCAAUAAUACAUAUGUAUUACCUUAAGUAUCGUUACAAUAAUCUUGUGAAAAUAAUCUUGUAAAAUUAAAAUUGUAAUUUACAAUUAUCAUUCUUAUAUAUUUUUUGUUAUUUUUAUAUAUCAUAAAGCUUGAUAAAUGAAAUAUUGUGCAAGCAAAACACAAAUUUGUCGAUGCAUUAAAUCAUUUUUCUAUUAAUAAUUUUAUUUAAAUUAUUGAAAUGCACUAAUAUAGAAUGUACAAAUAAUUAAGAUGUAGGUGGAUUCUGAUUUGCAUUCAAUUUGUAAUCUUUGUCUUUUAUUGCAUCUAAUUUAUCUCUUAUUUUGUCUCAUUCAUAAAAAGCCAACAAGCACAAAAUUGUCCAAACAUUGAACCCCACGCAAUGAACCGGAACUGAUUUAUUAUCUCCCCUUAUCUAUGGCGUAGUACGUGAUGUGCGAAAAAUUAUCCAAGGUCAAAUGGAUGUUUACGAAAGACCUCGAAAACAUCUUUGAGUGUGUGUAGACACUGACCAUUUCAUAUUCAAUCAUCCAUUUAUUAUGAUUACAUAACUUCUCCUAUUUCUACCCACGAUAUGCUUGUAAAUGUCAAUGUUUUGCACGCUUUUUGUAUGUGAAGACCAGAAUCUAAUCGUAAAUAUGUGCCCAAUAAAUUUCUCUAGUAAUAUUUUAGUUAAUAAAUAAAAUAUCUAAUAAUAGUAAUAUUAAAUAAAAAUUAUUACAAGCUUGACAUAUAGCAAAAAGUCCGAUUAAUAUAAUAUUAAUUUAUAAUAUAUAAUUUCUAUUUAUAUAUUUAAAUUUCAACGAUUAAGAGUCAGACAAUCCGUCAAUCUAAUAGAUUGUUUCAAGAUGAAAUAUACAUUAAUUUAAGGAGACAAGCAAUUAGGCAAAAUAGCUUAAUUAUAAAUUGUAGGCCAAACUACUCUUGUGAGACUAACUUGUGAGGCUCUCGUGCUAACUACUGCGUUGGCUUUCCGUUAUUUUUAACUAUCGUUACAAUGUUCGAGUGCAUGAUGAGGAUGAUCGAGGGGCUCGUGAAUGAAAGGAGUAAUGAAGCACAGCAUACGCUGAAGCACAUGUGCGAUGAGAGUACCGCUGAACUGCGAUUAUAGUUGACAUACUUUCGUGUAUCGAUUCCAAAUAGACAGCGAGCUUCCUGUAAACCAAUAACGUUACGGUAAACCGUGCAACGUUCAUUAAACGAUAAUGAGAAUCAAGAGUUAUAUUAUUAUUAUUUUUGACAAAUUACUACAACCUCAAUAAAUUAAUAAUGUAACGAUUGGCGAUACAUAAUUGGUGAUAAUAAUAUAAAUUUGAUUAUUUAUUUAUAUCUAGUUUUCAUAUUUAAUUAAGUAUGAAAGUAAUAAUCCAAUAUUUCAGUUUGCAACAUCCAACAUGCAACGAACAAAUUUAAUAAUAUGUGCGAAAGAUUAGUGAAUUGUUCACACACAGGUAAUUGCUGAUGAGUAAUCGCUAUCCUUGUCUCUCGUUUAGUCGUGACGAUGUUGCAUAAUAGUGAAUCAUGAUGUAUAAUAGCGAAUGUAUCUUCCUAUAUGAGGUCUUGCCCGAAAAUGCUUUUCGGAUUCUUGGACGGCUUGUGACGACGAUUAGUUUAAAUGAUGGUGCUUUUGCAUCGAAGUUUGACAGCAUUCUUUUAACAUCCGCACAUCUUGCUGCAAAUCAAACAAACCUGGCUCUGGUAAGAAUGCACUGCUAUCCCAUGUUUGCAAUGUCAAUUAACAUAAUCCUGGCUGAUAAUGUAAAGAUUUCGUCACUUGGUAGUCGCCUCCUCGUUGGCGAAAGGAUUCCGGCUUGCAGCUUUGUACGUAUCUGUAGUGACUACGUCAAAUGAUGUUGCAAAGGCAAGAAAAACAGCGGAAUAUUAGGUAUGCGAUCGUGUGUAAUUUUGUAUUAAUUUUUCCUGCUACAACUUUGUUCAAAAAUAUAUCAUUUGGUAAUUAGAUUUAAUCGUUUGCGUAUUUAAUUGAAUUUUUAUUGCUCAGCAGAACAAAACACAUGUUUGUUUUAUUGUAUCAUUUUAAUAUGAUACAAUUGUCAAUUGGAAGACGUUUUCUUUAUAUAAAAGAGUUCUACAUAGUUCAAAUUUUUGAUAUUUUUGACGAAUUGUGAUCUAUUUCAAGAUUCCUUUUCUAAAUCCAAUAUGACGUUGUUCGGUAGAAAGCGACUGAACAACGCGUGAUAUUUACAAGCGAGAGUGGCCGUUAAUUGUUAGUAAGUGAUUGCAACUUUGAUGGAUGGUGCCGAGAUGUAUUUUGAAUUGAUCAGCCGUUUCGUACGCUUAAUAAAUAAUUCGCCUUGCUCAAUCCAGACACCUCGGUCGGAAUGCUGUGAGUCAUUAAUGAAUAACGAUGAACGUCGUAGUAUUUUUAUCAUUGGUUUUAUAGAAUUUACAUUUCAUCUUAAGUUAGUGAUUUAUGAUUUCACAUGUUUUACUAAGGAAACAUGGAAUCCUCAAGUAAUGAGAGGACAAAGAGGUGGGAGUUCAUUGGAUAUGAUCAGCCUACGAGAACAGAUCCGAAAAAAACAAGAUUGUAAAUUUUUAUGAACUUUUAUACAUUUACAGCUGAGAAGUGGAAGCGAAUAAGUUUUGUCGUAAUCUGUAGUACACAGUUAGUUAUAAAUCACAAUUAAAAUUGUCGAAAUGUUUGUGUAAAAAAUUUUUCUCUUAAAAUAAAAUUCUAUUUAUAUAAGUCAGAGUCUGUUAUCUUUUAAAUGUGUUUUAAUCUGAUUAAAUUUAUUCAUAAUUCUAUAAUUUCUCUUGAAAAAUAUUAACGAUUCAGUUGCAAGUAUUUCUUGAGAGCACUGAAUCUCACGUUUGCCAUCUUUCUUCAUUUUUUUGAAUUAUUUAGAUGGUGAUUCUGUUAAUCAAUAUUUGUAAUAUUGACAUCCUUUCGGAUGCAUUCCCAUAGGCCUUUUAUCAAUGCACAUGUUUUACACGUUACUUUUUUUAACAAGACAUUUAAUAUUCAUUUAAUAUCUGUAAGCUCAGCAGAGUCAACAUUUUGCGUGGGAACAGACGUUAAGAGGUUCUCGUGUAUAGGUAUGCGCGCAUUAUAGAUUCCUGUUGUUUGCACUGUACUGCGCAAACUGCGCUCGAUCGGCUCUUCGCGGCACGCGAAAUAUCGGUUACUUCCGGAUUCCCUUUGAGGAUUAACACAAGCUGACAGAGCACAUUAUCAGAGCGGAUAAAAGAACAGAAUAGAAGAAGGUAAAUACUCUUGC
This 4653-nucleotide long non-coding RNA is filed under the name Ooceraea biroi (clonal raider ant). RNAcentral's name for it is "uncharacterized LOC105274567". The record is from RNAcentral. Lineage: Eukaryota; Metazoa; Arthropoda; Insecta; Hymenoptera; Formicidae.